Long non-coding RNA from Girardinichthys multiradiatus, 366 nucleotides. RefSeq lists it as uncharacterized. The transcript has 2 exons. Lineage: Eukaryota; Metazoa; Chordata; Actinopteri; Cyprinodontiformes; Goodeidae. The record is from RefSeq and is a predicted model, not a curated record.
GUAAGGAGGGCUGCAUCUGCUGUGUACUACAAUACAAUAUACGCCAAUAGGUGAAAGAAGAGUGACUGGAGGAAAUAAAUGCUUCAAGGUCUCGCCACAACGCAGAAUCCUGUGUCUGGUGCCUCUGUUUCCGCCUGGAACACACCUCACCUACAUCUAAAACACAACGCAGAGUUCACGGAGUGUCUUCCACAAGCUACGGACGCACAGAGGGACAGACUGGGUUACAUCUAUAUUUUACUAAAGUCUACAGGGACAAACAAAAAUAUGUGUGUGCGUUAUAAAAAAUGUACUAUAUCUGAUAUUUACAUGUCUUUCGGGGUGUAAUUUAGGAGAAAUAAAACACAAUAUAGUUUUCAAUCUUAA